UAUUAAACGAAAACAGAUCUCAUUGUACAAUUAUGAAACAAAACAUCGUUACACCUUUGCAUGACGCAGUCGACAUAUUAUAAUAUGUAUGUCAAAAACACUCGACUAACCGAAAAGUCCUAAGCAAACACUAAGAUGUUUUUAUCGGCGCAAGGUCGCGAUACAUUAUCGUCAUCUCAAACACGGUUUAUCAGCUUCCAAACUGAAUCUCAGUGAUACAUGACCUUGUUCCGCGAUGAAAAUUCCAGUUUACAUACUGUUAAAAGUGAUCACGCGUUCUACGCGCCUAUCAAUUUUCGUUCAAUGCAUUUUAGAUUGUAAUCUACCACCGGAUCGGAAACGCGACCCACAGAAGAUCCGGCGAGAAACUCAGUGGGCUGUGUCUGGGAGUUAAUUUACUCGUCGAGCCCUUCGUCGCAAGCGACGGGUUCGUCGAGAACGGUGACCGGUGCUUGAAGUUCCUAGAAGCACCGUUAGUGGAUCGGGAGGAUCCGAGAUGACGUGUUUUGGGAGACGUCGACUGCUUUCCAUUCUUUCCGCAGGAUCGGGAAUUAGGAGUGGGUAAUAUCGGUUUUGCCGCGUAUCGAAUCGUAUCUAUAUAUCGAGGAUCAAUAUCGGAUAUUGAAUCUAUAUAUUUUCUGAAUCUAUAUAUUGAUGGAUGCUAGUAGAUUUUCUCGAUUCAUGAUAUUUGAGAUUUGAAACGAUACGCUGAUAUAAUAUCAUAGUAGAUAUAGAUUUAAGUCAACGUUAUACGGUUGGUUUUCUGAUAUCAAUUUAUAAUAUGAUCUUAAAGUAAUAAAAAGAACAUGAAAAUAAAAAUAUCAAAAAAA
Bombyx mori (domestic silkworm) is the source of this 830-nucleotide long non-coding RNA. RefSeq lists it as uncharacterized. The transcript is spliced from 2 exons. NCBI's taxonomy places the organism in Eukaryota, Metazoa, Arthropoda, Insecta, Lepidoptera, Bombycidae. The record is from RefSeq and is a predicted model, not a curated record.